RNAcentral lists this ribosomal RNA (439 nucleotides) under uncultured bacterium. RNAcentral describes it as "bacterial SSU rRNA". It matches the Rfam family "Bacterial small subunit ribosomal RNA", at positions 954 to 1392 of the family's 1533-position model. The record is from RNAcentral.
GCUAAACGCGAAGAACCUUACCAAGGCUUGACAUGGAUUUCUAAGCACGUGAAAGCGUGUGACCCUUCGGGGGGACUUCCACAGGUGCUGCAUGGCCGUCGUCAGCUCGUGUCGUGAGAUGUUGGGUUAAGUCCCGCAACGAGCGCAACCCUUGUGAACAGUUGCCAGCGCGUCAUGGCGGGAACUCUGUUCAGACUGCCCAGAUCAACUGGGAGGAAGGUGGGGACGACGUCAGGUCAGUAUGGCCCUUACGCCUUGGGCUGCACACGUACUACAAUGCCCAGCACAAUGAGAACCGAUGCCGCGAGGUGGAGGAAAUCUGCAAAACUGGGCUCAGUUCGGAUUGGAGGCUGCAACUCGCCUCCAUGAAGUUGGAAUCGCUAGUAAUGGGGCAUCAUCUACGGCCCCGUGAAUACGUUCCCGGGUCUUGUACACACCG